This 912-nucleotide ribosomal RNA is filed under the name uncultured bacterium. RNAcentral's name for it is "bacterial SSU rRNA". It matches the Rfam family "Bacterial small subunit ribosomal RNA", at positions 10 to 914 of the family's 1533-position model. The record is from RNAcentral.
AGUUUGAUCCUGGCUCAGGAUGAACGCUAGCUACAGGCUUAACACAUGCAAGUCGAGGGGCAGCGGGAUUGAAGCUUGCUUCAAUUGCCGGCGACCGGCGCACGGGUGAGUAACGCGUAUCCAACCUUCCGUACACUCAGGGAUAGCCUUUCGAAAGAAAGAUUAAUACCUGAUGGUAUGAUGAGAUUGCAUGAUAGCAUCAUUAAAGAUUUAUCGGUGUACGAUGGGGAUGCGUUCCAUUAGGUAGUAGGCGGGGUAACGGCCCACCUAGCCAACGAUGGAUAGGGGUUCUGAGAGGAAGGUCCCCCACAUUGGAACUGAGACACGGUCCAAACUCCUACGGGAGGCAGCAGUGAGGAAUAUUGGUCAAUGGACGAGAGUCUGAACCAGCCAAGUAGCGUGAAGGAUGAAGGUCCUACGGAUUGUAAACUUCUUUUAUAAGGGAAUAAACCCUCCCACGUGUGGGAGCUUGUAUGUACCUUAUGAAUAAGCAUCGGCUAACUCCGUGCCAGCAGCCGCGGUAAUACGGAGGAUGCGAGCGUUAUCCGGAUUUAUUGGGUUUAAAGGGAGCGCAGACGGGUCGUUAAGUCAGCUGUGAAAGUUUGGGGCUCAACCUUAAAAUUGCAGUUGAUACUGGCGUCCUUGAGUGCGGUUGAGGUGUGCGGAAUUCGUGGUGUAGCGGUGAAAUGCUUAGAUAUCACGAAGAACUCCGAUUGCGAAGGCAGCACACUAAUCCGUAACUGACGUUCAUGCUCGAAAGUGUGGGUAUCAAACAGGAUUAGAUACCCUGGUAGUCCACACGGUAAACGAUGGAUACUCGCUGUUGGCGAUAUACUGUCAGCGGCUUAGCGAAAGCGUUAAGUAUCCCACCUGGGGAGUACGCCGGCAACGGUGAAACUCAAAUGAAUUGAC